Molecule: ribosomal RNA, 253 nt
Filed under: uncultured bacterium
Lineage: Bacteria
Description: partial 16S ribosomal RNA
Rfam family: Bacterial small subunit ribosomal RNA
Source: RNAcentral
UACGAAGGGGGCGAGCGUUGUUCGGAUUUACUGGGCGUAAAGGGCGCGCAGGCGGCUUUGUUUGUCAGGCGUGAAAGCCCCGGGCUUAACCUGGGAACUGCGUUUGAUACGGCAGGGCUAGAGUUCGGGAGAGGAGAGUGGAAUUCCCAGUGUAGAGGUGAAAUUCGUAGAUAUUGGGAAGAACACCGGUGGCGAAGGCGGCUCACUGGCUCAUUACUGACGCUCAGGCGCGAUAGCGUGGGGAUCAAACAGG